Salvelinus fontinalis (brook trout) is the source of this 4331-nucleotide RNA transcript. It is a transcript of the gene named ATPase family AAA domain-containing protein 5-like, with no coding region annotated. The record is from RefSeq and is a predicted model, not a curated record. The transcript is spliced from 9 exons. Lineage: Eukaryota; Metazoa; Chordata; Actinopteri; Salmoniformes; Salmonidae.
UACUCAAAUUACUGUCUGAUUGGUUGAUCUGGGUUUGGCGCGUCUAUUUGAACAUACGGAAGCGGUAAGUUACACAACAUCGAAACAUUUGGCUGUGUGUGCUGAUUUGUGUUUAGUGAAAAGCUAAGUUAUGAAAUUAGCGUGAACGUAAACGUGUUUUGCAUGUUUAAAGUAACUUUCUCGGUAGGCUAUCAUUGACUUGUUCAGAAGAUCAUGUCAGAAAGUAAAGUUUGCUAACUAGCUAAGUCUAUGUUGUUACAAUGUGUCAACGGUUGUGAAAGUGCUACUUUAUAGGUAACUAUUGCAGCGCAUGCUACAAUCUGGCACUACGAAGACAAAAGUGAAAGCAACUUUCAUUUUGUAUUCCCAUUAUAUUGAAUGAUAUGAAUGCCCUAUUGAUGUGAUGACCAUAAUGGUGACAUCUUCAGAAAGGAAUUUGAUACAGAAAUAUUUGUUAUUUUUAUUUAACCUUUAGUUAACUAUAGUCUCUCAUCUUACCUGGACUUUCUGACUCCAGAAUUGUAUAUUUGUAUUUCUUCAGCGGCAUAGUGAAGACUGGGAACAGUGGGUUAGACACUUUGACCUCUUCAAGAGACCCCUUGUGGACAGACCCUGACAACUUAUCUCUCCAGCCAGAAGUAAUUGACCCCUUCCUCUCAGUCUGGUUGUGUUUAAGUGUUGAGCUGGACCACCAAUUCAAAAUCUGUCUCUGUGAGUGUUGGGGACUAUGGGCCUUAUUAGUGUCCCGUUUCCUGGUGAAAAUGGAUGCCACUUUCUCAUCCGAGACCCUGGUUGUCCCAGAGGCAGACUGCACCGCUGCUUGAAUUGUGAGGGUACAUGCUAUUUCAUUCUGGCCAGAUGUGAGUCCAACUCCUGCUCUAUGGCAUUAGCCAGUGACUUGAGCCAUGUCCACAGACCCCAUCACUGCCCUGCUCCUGAAUGCUGUGUCAGCACUGGAGCAGCUUGACUCUGAAAUCACUAUAACAUUAUUAGGAGGGUCUGAGCAGGGGCUAUCCUUGAUGAGGCUUGUUCUUGCUUCGGGGUAUCUGUUCCACUUGAGUCUGUGCAGCCUACUGGUUGACCGUGACACAGAGAGAGGCACCUCAUCAUAAGACCCCCCAAUACGACAAGGCGCCAUCUUAGGUUUCUCUUUCACCUGCUCAGAAAUUAGGCUCUUCCUCCCAAGAGGUUGUGGGGUUAUACUUAAGUACUUUGUGAUGUCAUUGGAUUUUGGGCACCCAGCCUUCUUCUCUAUGGCCAAGUAGGGGCGAUAACCACAUCUUUCUUGCCUAGUUAACUCUAUUCUAUCUGUGUCAUGUUCUUAUUGUCAUGUAUACAGUCUGUGUGGUGCCAUACUCUAGUAUCAGAUUCAGUCAUAUUGGUCGCCUUUUAUUUCAGAGACAGAGAUAGGCGCUACAUCUCCUAGCUCUGUAGGAGAGAAGAGGAAACAUCAGAAUGAGAGGGAGGACCCUGAAACAGUACGCAAGCGCCAAAGGUCUAGCCCGUGUUUAGAGACCAGCUUUACUGGGUAUAGUCCCUCUUUAGAACACCAAGUCAGGGGGUCUCUUAUCCCCUCUUCCAGGGGUCAGCCUAGAAGAAGCAGGCUGAGCCGAACACAAAGACUCAGGCGGCAACAGCGGGAAAGUCAAGGUCUGGGGAUAGGUCAGGAACUGACCCCUAACCCACCAAACCAACCAGAAUCUCCUCAGAAGGUCUAUCCUGCCCAACCACAGCGAUGCCUUAGGAGAGGUGAUGAUUCCUAAUACAGAUUGUUGUUGAAACUACAAUGUAUUUACUUUUCUUUGUCCAAUUUUGAAUGUCCUAACUAUGUAUGCCCCGGACCACUAGAAUACAGAGGUGCUUUAGCUCUGUCAUUGAUUGGGAUCUGCCAUUGGCCUUCAAGAUAUGUACCUUUAUUUUUCUGUUGUGAAGUUCACAACAUUGAGGAUUUGCUGUGGACAGAGAAGUACCGCUCUCAGCACUCCAGUGAGGUAAUAGGCAACUCUGUCUCUGUAAAGAAGCUACACAGGUGAGUUGCUAACACCACUGCUAGCUCCUUCAAUGUCUAGCUUUUAUGGUAUGGUGUCCUUAUUUCUGUUUGCAGUUGGUUAAAGAAAUGGAAACAGAGAGUCGACUGUGAAGAGAGGAGAAAAGAGCGAGUAAGGAAAAUUAGAAGAAAAUGCCAACAGCAAUGUGUUGACCUCCGGUUUGGCUGUGCAGACUUCCAGGGAGAGGCUAGAGUGGAGGAGGAAGAUCUGUGUCGCACAAUGCUGAUCACAGGACCGCCAGGGGUGGGCAAGACUGCCUCGGUAUACGCCUGCGCUCAGGAGCUGGGCUUCAAGGUGUUCAAAGUGAACGCCUCCACCCACCCAGCGGUCGCCACAUCCUGACCUAACUGAAAGAGGCCACCCAAUCUCACCUGGUGGAGAAUAAUCUCACCAGGGAAGCACCACCUUCAAACCAUCUCAUCUUAGUAGCUACAACAACACCUCAACUAAAUCUGACACAGUAGCUGUCUCUCUCAAGACCGUGACUGUGAAGAAGGCAGAUAUUAUUAACCCUACGUUGGUCAGUCAACUGUCACCAGACGUUGAAGAGCCACCAACAGGUUGAUGUCUUAUUCGAUGAUGAUGUGGGAUUCCUCACAGCAAUCAAGACCUUCAUGAAGACAACCAAGAGACCUGUGAUACUGACCACUAGUGAUCCCUCCUUCAAGGCAAAGUUUGACGGCGACUUUGAAGCGAUCCUUUUUAAAACCCCUUCAGUAGUGAAUGUUUGCAGUUAUCUGCAGCUACUGUGCCUGGCUGAGAACGUCAGGAUGGAUGCUGCUCACCUCACCUCUGGAUCUGCAGUGGAGGAGGACAAGCAUCUCAGAGGGCAACCCCCACUGAAGGACCCUGCAGGUGGUGUGUAUGGAAUGCCCGUCCUGGGCUAAACCAGACAUCAUCAAGCUGAUGGAGAUCCUUACUGAGAGCUGGAGGAGAGGUGUAGCUUUGCUCUACUCGAACCUGGAGCUCCUCCUUCCCCUACCAGUCAGGACCCAGCCCAGUCCUCUCCUCACUGAAAAGAAAGUGACUCGCCCUAGGCUUCAGAGUGAGCCACCACCCUCAGAUCCCACUGAUCCUGGAUCAAUCCAGUUAAGGUGUCCUCUGGCUCCAGGCUGAGGAGAAAGAAAUGUCUGCCAACAUCUGAUUCCAGAUCAGCUCAUAUCAUGUUAUGUUCGAGUAGAGCCUUACAGAGCCUCACUGUCUCUGAGGGCUCAUCCAAGUGUAUCAAAUAUUAUUGAGACUUAAUGACAAACUUCAAACUGAGAAGGCGGCAGAUGGCUUGGUGUACGACUGCUUAGAUGCAAUAACUGACUUUAUGGACCUCAUGUCCUUCAUUGAUACCUCUCUACUGAGUGAGUCUCCACAUAAGGCUGGCCCAUGCAGACCAAGGGCUUUUCUCUAGACAGGGGCGGAGGUUAAGUAUGGACUGCUAGAUGAGUUGAGGAUGGGGGGCUGUAGGUGGUUGUGUGAGAGGACAUUAGAGAUCCAGGCUACAGUAGAGGGCCUGGGCUUCCGGAUGGGCUGGAUCCCAGAGGCUGGAGGGGGAGCAGAUGGGGAGGGGGAUGGAGAAACUCACCCUCCCUGUCGCCCCACCCAGACGAGGUUUCAACGUCAGUCAGACCACUUCCUGUGAUCCUAGGCGAGUGCAGUUUCCUGAGUAUUCUGUUAUUCUUUCACUGUAAGAAAUGCAUUGGUGGCUCAGUCCUCUAAAUUACCAUACAUGCUUAUGUGAAGUUAGCACUCACAUUUGUAAUGUUGUUAGAAUUUGGUUCAAACUGUUAGUCAGAAAUGAGCAUUAUUGCAAACAAAACCUUCUGGUGGUAUCUGAACAGCAGUUUGUCUUCCGGCGUGGUCGAAAGGAGAUGUGACGUCAUCAGAACCGUCCUCUCAAGCUGAGCCUUCUGCACCGUGGGAAACAAGCAAGCUGUUGCCGUGGUCUACCUGCCUGUUCUCCGCGCCCUGUGCCUAUCAGAGAGAACUCAGGAGCAGGGCCAAGGCAGGUUUCUGCAUUACCUCAGCAGUAUUCACCUGGGCCUCCCUAAGGCCUGAGACUCCUUGCAGGUGAUUUCCCAUGACCAUUUAAGUCAGUUCUGGCUCUACACUGCAUUACAGUGGGGUUAAUGCUAUUAUCUCCCUAUGUUAAUGACUUGUGAUUUAGUGAAUGUAGCCCAUAUGGGUGUUCAUGAUAAGGUUUGCUGUACAUUCAUUCAUGCUUAUUACACUGAGUGAGAAGAGUCUACUGUAUGCAUUCAAAAUGUAUAAUAAAUAAAAUAUGAAAUCCUA